This 485-nucleotide ribosomal RNA is filed under the name uncultured bacterium. Its description in RNAcentral is "partial 16S ribosomal RNA". It matches the Rfam family "Bacterial small subunit ribosomal RNA", at positions 899 to 1397 of the family's 1533-position model. The record is from RNAcentral.
ACUCAAAGGAAUUGACGGGGGCCCGCACAAGCAGCGGAGCGUGUGGUUCAAUUCGAGGUUACGCGAAGAACCUUACCAGGGGUUGAUAUGCAAGUAGUAGUGAAGCGAAAGCGGAACGACCCUUCGGGGAGCUUGCACAGGUGAUGCAUGGCUGUCGUCAGCUCGUGCCGUGAGGUGUUUGGUUAAGUCCACUAACGAGCGCCACCCUUGCCGCGUGUUACAUGUGUCACGCGGGACUGCCGGUAUCAAGCCGGAGGAAGGCGGGGAUGAAGUCAAGUCAGCAUGUCCUUUGCUCCUGGGCUACACACACGCUACAAUGGCCGGUACAAUGGGUCGCAAUGCCGCGAGGCGAAGCCAAUCCUCCAAAACCGGUCUCAGUUCGGAUUGCAGGCUGCAACCCGCCUGCAUGAAGUCGGAGUUGCUAGUAAACGCAGGACAGCUAUACUGCGUUGAAUACGUUCCCGGGCCUUGUACACACCGCCCGU